This 253-nucleotide ribosomal RNA is filed under the name uncultured bacterium. RNAcentral's name for it is "partial 16S ribosomal RNA". It matches the Rfam family "Bacterial small subunit ribosomal RNA", at positions 524 to 776 of the family's 1533-position model. The record is from RNAcentral.
GACAGAGGGUGCAAGCGUUAUCCGGAAUGAUUGGGCGUAAAGCGUCCGCAGGUGGCAGUUCAAGUCUGCUGUCAAAGACCGGGGCUUAACUUCGGAAAGGCAGUGGAAACUGAACAGCUAGAGUAUGGUAGGGGCAGAGGGAAUUCCUGGUGUAGCGGUGAAAUGCGUAGAGAUCAGGAAGAACAUCGGUGGCGAAGGCGCUCUGCUGGACCAUAACUGACACUCAGGGACGAAAGCUAGGGGAGCGAAUGGG